AAGCCAUGAUAAGGGCAUUUACGUUGCAUAAGUUUGAAACGCUCCCACACUUCAUAGAGUGUUUCCCAUUCUAUCUAUUGAAAGUUGGUGAUGCCCAUCCUUAGCUU
Molecule: small nucleolar RNA, 107 nt
Filed under: Gossypium hirsutum (cotton)
Lineage: Eukaryota; Viridiplantae; Streptophyta; Magnoliopsida; Malvales; Malvaceae
Description: Plant small nucleolar RNA R71
Rfam family: Plant small nucleolar RNA R71
About the family: R71 is a member of the C/D box family of snoRNAs containing the C (UGAUGA) and D (CUGA) box motifs. Multiple nearly identical copies of this snoRNA have been identified in Arabidopsis, and it is thought to function as a 2'-O-ribose methylation guide for 18S ribosomal RNA.
Source: Rfam by way of RNAcentral